This 200-nucleotide ribosomal RNA is filed under the name uncultured bacterium. Its description in RNAcentral is "partial 16S ribosomal RNA". It matches the Rfam family "Bacterial small subunit ribosomal RNA", at positions 8 to 234 of the family's 1533-position model. The record is from RNAcentral.
AGAGUUUGAUCCUGGCUCAGAACGAACGCUGGCGGCAUGCCUAACACAUGCAAGUCGAACGCGUGGAGCAAUCCACGAGUGGCGGACGGGUGAGUAACGCGUGGGAACCUGCCCUGGAGUGCGGAAUAACCGAGGGAAACUUCGGCUAAUACCGCAUACGACCUACGGGUGAAAGAUUUAUCGCUCUAGGAGGGGCCCGC